RNAcentral lists this ribosomal RNA (507 nucleotides) under uncultured Glomeraceae. Its description in RNAcentral is "SSU rRNA". It matches the Rfam family "Eukaryotic small subunit ribosomal RNA", at positions 569 to 1082 of the family's 1831-position model. Lineage: Eukaryota; Fungi; Glomeromycota; Glomeromycetes; Glomerales; Glomeraceae. The record is from RNAcentral.
AGCAGCCGCGGUAAUUCCAGCUCCAAUAGCGUAUAUUAAAGUUGUUGCAGUUAAAAAGCUCGUAGUUGAAUUUCGGGGUUAGUAGGUUGGUCAUGCCUCUGGUAUGUACUGGUCUCACUGAUUCCUCCUUCCUGAUGAGCCGUAAUGCCAUUAAUUUGGUGUUGCGGGGAAUUUGGACUGUUACUUUGAAAAAUUGAGUGUUUAAAGCAAGCUAACGCUUGAAUACAUUAGCAUGGAAUAAUGAAAUAGGACGUUCGAUCCUAUUUUGUUGGUUUCUAGGAUUGACGUAAUGAUUAAUAGGGAUAGUUGGGGGCAUUAGUAUUCAAUUGUCAGAGGUGAAAUUCUUGGAUUUAUUGAAGACUAACUACUGCGAAAGCAUUUGCCAAGGAUGUUUUCAUUAAUCAAGAACGAAAGUUAGGGGAUCGAAGACGAUCAGAUACCGUCGUAGUCUUAACCAUAAACUAUGCCGACUAGGGAUCGGAUGAUGUUUAAUUUUUAAUGUACUCA